AUUGAACGCUGGCGGCAGGUCUAACACAUGCAAGUCGAGCGGAUGAAGGGAGCUUGCUCCUGGAUUCAGCGGCGGACGGGUGAGUAAUGCCUAGGAAUCUGCCUGGUAGUGGGGGAUAACGUCCGGAAACGGGCGCUAAUACCGCAUACGUCCUGAGGGAGAAAGUGGGGGAUCUUCGGACCUCACGCUAUCAGAUGAGCCUAGGUCGGAUUAGCUAGUUGGUGGGGUAAAGGCCUACCAAGGCGACGAUCCGUAACUGGUCUGAGAGGAUGAUCAGUCACACUGGAACUGAGACACGGUCCAGACUCCUACGGGAGGCAGCAGCGGGGAAUAUUGGACAAUGGGCGAAAGCCUGAUCCAGCCAUGCCGCGUGUGUGAAGAAGGUCUUCGGAUUGUAAAGCACUUUAAGUUGGGAGGAAGGGCAGUAAGUUAAUACCUUGCUGUUUUGACGUUACCAACAGAAUAAGCACCGGCUAACUUCGUG
Molecule: ribosomal RNA, 484 nt
Filed under: uncultured bacterium
Lineage: Bacteria
Description: partial 16S ribosomal RNA
Rfam family: Bacterial small subunit ribosomal RNA
Source: RNAcentral